This 755-nucleotide long non-coding RNA is filed under the name Mytilus galloprovincialis (Mediterranean mussel). The record is from RNAcentral. Lineage: Eukaryota; Metazoa; Mollusca; Bivalvia; Mytilida; Mytilidae.
UGUUGAGUAGAUUACAAUAAUAAUUAUUAAGGUAGAAAUGAACAAGUUUUCAUACAAAACUAUAAACCAACAUAUUUUUUGCAAAUACUUAAUUUCACGUUUACUCCUUAAUAGCACUUUUCGCCGCGAUUUUAUAUCGCGAUUUUCAAAUUUGCUUGAUCAUGUUGAUGAAUUAAAUAGGUAAAGAUCCAAAUCGUAGUUAGUCGCGACUAUUUCUAUUCGAGUUAUUUUUCGAAUGCAAAUGUAAAAUGUAAAAAUCAUCGUAGAGCAUCGCGUAAAUAGCAUAAUUUAAGGUGGAUUUGGACUAUUCCACUGCGCAUAAUUUCACGCAUGAAUUAAAAAUCACACGAAAAGUAUGUGUCGUAAAUUCGAUAUUUUUUUUUUUUUUUUUAAAUAUUUUGAUUGAUUAGAAAUGUUAAAUCAUUGUAGUUAUGUCACUAAAAAAAUAUUAUCGUUAUUAUGUGUAUCUGCGAAAGGCUCAAAAUGUCAUUUCAUUCAAUUUCACCAUUUUCCCGUCAAAAUGUGAGUUUUAAGGCAAAAUAUACUUUUCCCUUAUCGGUGACCAAUGUUUUCAGCUUUUUAUAUUACAGUUUUGGACCAAGUGUCAUAGAACUUUUUUUUUUAUUCCGAAAAAAAAUAUGUCAACACCUCUAUUGUGUCUAUCAUUUCCAGUGUUCCACCUAGGAUUUCAAAAGGGCAGGGUGCCAAUCCUGAAAAAUGGCAUUUAACGCGUGAUAUGAUAAUAUGAAAAGGGC